GGGGGCGACAAGGUUUCGACGGGGAUACAAGAACUGUUAGUCACGUGUCGAGGGGUGAUGCUCGUAAAAACGUCACACUGUUAUAGUUGGCAACAACUACGCAAUCGCUGCUUAAUUAAACAGUAGCCGAUCGUGAGGUGAGGCUCACAGCGCCGAAACGAUCGUCAUAUUUAGUGGGCUGGCAACCCGUUCUGGACCAGGGGAACGGCGCGCGAGACUUUUCUUGGUGGGGAUGUGUGAGUUUCGGCCCCGGUUAGCCUCACCCAUCCGACAUCGAUAACUGGGGAAACGCACGUAAACGCUGGCAGGGAAGGUUCUCGGACCCGGGUUCGAUUCCCGGCGCCUCCACCA
RNAcentral lists this transfer-messenger RNA (351 nucleotides) under Sulfidibacter corallicola. Its description in RNAcentral is "Standard tmRNA". It matches the Rfam family "transfer-messenger RNA". From Rfam's summary of the family: Bacterial tmRNA, also known as 10Sa RNA or SsrA, is named for its dual tRNA and mRNA-like properties. Its role is to liberate the mRNA from a stalled ribosome. Lineage: Bacteria; Pseudomonadati; Acidobacteriota; Holophagae; Acanthopleuribacterales; Acanthopleuribacteraceae. The record is from Rfam by way of RNAcentral.